This is a long non-coding RNA of Cottoperca gobio, 979 nucleotides long. RefSeq lists it as uncharacterized. NCBI's taxonomy places the organism in Eukaryota, Metazoa, Chordata, Actinopteri, Perciformes, Bovichtidae. The transcript has 3 exons. The record is from RefSeq and is a predicted model, not a curated record.
CCAAACACGUCGAUACUGAGACCAAAUAAGACAAAUAUACCGGGAUGAUCCGGACACUUAUAUACUAUUGACAUUAACUAGAAUAACUGGUUGUUUGGGGGCUGUGUCCCUGCAAACCAGGGAGCAGAAACUUCGUCAGAUCACAACACUAAACCCAGACUGUUUUUGUUUUGUCCAGUCACGGGAUCUGCUGCGGUGGCAGAGAGCCAAUGAACCAGCCUGGAAAUCGAAAAUACAACCAGGAAAAUGAAACAAACAAAAAUGUAACCGGUAGCUUUCAGAUAACAGUUUCCACCGAAUCCACUGUCGGUGGCGGUUUAAUUAAACCGUAGGAAAGAAACUAGCAAUGGCUGCUUUGAGCAAUAAGGGAGGUAGAAGAUGAAGACAAAGGCAGCCGAAUGAAACAAGACGACAAAUGCUGGAGGCUAUACAAUAAAAUUUGAAGACGACGAAGGAAAUAAUCUUCGGCUGAGGUACACAAAGUUUAUAAAGGCCAGACUGGCAGCUGAAUACCGGCCCACCAGCUCUCUGAUUGGUCGGCUCCUUGUUUAUCACCGUAGACGCCCCGCCCCCAAUGUGCGACCUCAUCUUUGAAAGCACGUGAUUCUCUCCUGGAAAAAAGGACACUACAUACAGACCGGUUUGAAGCAGUUGAAACAAACACGCACCUCCCCCAUGCUGUGCAGCUGCAGGGCCAGUAUGCGUAGGUGAUCCUGGCUGACCAGCGGGUUGAUGUUCUCCUGGACGUCGCUGACAAACUGUUGCCAUGACGUCAGCUGGUUGGGUCCACUCAGCUUCCUCCAGGUCGGCAGGAUGGUCAGCAAACGCUCCGACAGCAGCGUCAUGGGACUACACCUCUGCAGAGAUGAAGGAGGGGGCAGUAAAUACGUGGAGUCUCUCCAUGUUACCAUUUCUUAAGAUAUUGACUGACAAAUGAAGGAGAAAAAUAUUCCAGAAAAAGUCUCAUAUUUUAUGACGU